ACUCCUACGGGAGGCAGCAGUGGGGAAUAUUGGACAAUGGGCGCAAGCCUGAUCCAGCCAUGCCGCGUGAGUGAUGAAGGCCCUAGGGUUGUAAAGCUCUUUCACCGGUGAAGAUAAUGACGGUAACCGGAGAAGAAGCCCCGGCUAACUUCGUGCCAGCAGCCGCGGUAAUACGAAGGGGGCUAGCGUUGUUCGGAUUUACUGGGCGUAAAGCGCACGUAGGCGGACUAUUAAGUCAGGGGUGAAAUCCCGGGGCUCAACCCCGGAACUGCCUUUGAUACUGGUAGUCUUGAGUUCGAGAGAGGUGAGUGGAAUUCCGAGUGUAGAGGUGAAAUUCGUAGAUAUUCGGAGGAACACCAGUGGCGAAGGCGGCUCACUGGCUCGAUACUGACGCUGAGGUGCGAAAGCGUGGGGAGCAAACAGGAUUAGAAACCCUAGUAGUCCCA
RNAcentral lists this ribosomal RNA (446 nucleotides) under uncultured organism. RNAcentral describes it as "partial 16S ribosomal RNA". It matches the Rfam family "Bacterial small subunit ribosomal RNA", at positions 335 to 797 of the family's 1533-position model. The record is from RNAcentral.